RNAcentral lists this long non-coding RNA (435 nucleotides) under Cicer arietinum (chickpea). RNAcentral describes it as "long non-coding RNA (CARI_LNC001434)". Lineage: Eukaryota; Viridiplantae; Streptophyta; Magnoliopsida; Fabales; Fabaceae. The record is from RNAcentral.
AUGUGUUGAUUGCUACAACCGCAUUGUCAUCAUUCCAGAAGGAGAUGGGUAUGUAAACUAUUUUAAAUUAUGAUUGUUAAAUAUUUCAUUAUUGCAUGUUACAUUAUUUUAUUAAUUCAUUUUUAUAUUUAAUUUGCAUGUAAACAUUGAAGAUAUAUUCCUUUUAAAUCAUCUGCAAAGGCAAUUGCUGAAGUCAUACAAGAGAAAUAUAAAAAAUCAUGGUUGUCUUGGGGUGAGAUAAAAGAGGAUAAGAUACCUCAAUUUAAUGAAGUUGAUCAAUUUUUACAUUGUUUCAAAGUAAGUGAUUAGAUUAAAUUAUUUAAUUACUAAUUAUACAUUUGAUUGCUUAAUUGAAUUAUAUUUUUAAUAUUUUGUAAAUUUAAACAAACAACAGACUAAAUGUACUUGGAAAAGAGAGCAUGAUGCUGCAGUUUU